Long non-coding RNA from Portunus trituberculatus (swimming crab), 1366 nucleotides. RefSeq lists it as uncharacterized. NCBI's taxonomy places the organism in Eukaryota, Metazoa, Arthropoda, Malacostraca, Decapoda, Portunidae. The record is from RefSeq and is a predicted model, not a curated record. The transcript has 3 exons.
AAAAAAAAAAAAUCACACAAGGCAACUCAACCCCACAUCUUGCAUCUCCCUUCCUCUCAUCUCGACAAACCCAAAACUUUACUCCACUUCCCCAUCCAUUUCUCACUCAAUUACCCACUCCACAUCCACGCACCCACCACCACAGCAUCCACUAAUCACCCAUCCACCCAUGAGUAUCAAUUAAACAACAAGGGAAAGUUGAAAUAGACGAGAAAAUAGAAGUUAAGUAUAAGCAUUUUUCCAGCCUCCUUGAUGUAAACAAAGAAGGAGGCGGGCGGUGGCGGUGGUGAUGGUGGUGGUACUUCAAAGCUCCUUACCAAAUGUUUCCUAUAUUUUGUCUAUUUCUCCUUUAUUUCCCGGUGUUGUGCGGGUGUUGAUGGUGUUGCUUGUUGGUUAAGGGUGUAGGGAAGUGUUUGUGUUGUUUGUAAAGGUGGGUGUUUGCUAGAAGACGUAGAAAAUGAAAAAUAAAAAAAAAAUUAAGUUUUGCACACACACACACGAGUUGAGAGCAAAAACGCGCACACACACACACGCACAUACACACACACCACACCCACACACACUUCUCUUUCCUGCCCUCCUACCCUCCCCAUCUUCUCCUUCCCUCCUACCCUCUCCUCUCCCCAUCUCCUUCCCUCCACCUCCUCCUCCUCCUCUCUCCCUCAGUUCCUUCAGUAGAGUGGUGUGGGUAGGUCGCUAUGCACACGGGCGGGCCAAGGAACAUUAGGAAUAGCAGACGGAAAUCCUGGAAUCUUGGAAUGGAGGGCGUGUGACUCAUGGCUUGGAAUAACUUAAAAUUUUGAUGGUUAUUUUGACUGACAAUGCGACCACCACCAUCACCACCCACCACCACCACCACCCUCUCCUCACUUCCCCUCUCCCUCUCUCUCCUUCCUCCUCCUCUUCCUCCAGCUCUCCCUCGCAGCCUCCCCAUCUGAAGAGGAAUGGGGAGAGGGGAGAGAGAGAGAGGAGGAACAGCUGGAAGAGGAAGAGGAAGAGGAGGAAGAUUGGGAGAUAGAGGAGGAAAAUGUGGUAAAUUUUUCCUACCAAGCAAAGGGGGGCCAGAAGAGGAGGCAGAGACAGCAGUGGAGGUGGUGGGGGUGAUGGAGGAGGGGUGGUGGGGGGUGGGGGCGCCAGGUGACCCAGCGAGGGGAGCAGAGCCAGCCAGAUGGGAUGGGUGGCCCUCCUUCACCCCCAACCCUCCUGACCCUUCCACACCCCCACCUGCCCCUCCCCUCCCAGUGACUAUGAGGUGCUACAAGAUGACUGGAAGGAGUAUGUGGUAUGAGAGAGAGAGAGAGAGAGAGAGAGAGAGAGAGAGAGAGAGAGAGAGAGAGAGAGAGAGAGAGAAUACAACCAUUUUUUA